RNAcentral lists this ribosomal RNA (392 nucleotides) under uncultured bacterium. Its description in RNAcentral is "partial 16S ribosomal RNA". It matches the Rfam family "Bacterial small subunit ribosomal RNA", at positions 523 to 918 of the family's 1533-position model. The record is from RNAcentral.
AUACGGAGGAUGCGAGCGUUAUCCGGAUUUAUUGGGUUUAAAGGGAGCGCAGGCGGCCAUUUAAGUCAGCGGUUAAAUCGUGGGGCUCAACCCCAUUCUGCCGUUGAUACUGGGUGGCUUGAUUGCGGUCGAGGUUGGCGGAAUUCGUUGUGUAGCGGUGAAAUGCAUAGAUAUGACGAAGAACACCGAUUGCGUAGGCAGCUGACCAGACCGCAAAUGACGCUCAUGCACGAAAGUGCGGGGAUCGAACAGGAUUAGAUACCCUGGUAGUCCGCACAGUAAACGAUGAAUACUUGUUUUCGGCGAUAUAAUGUCGGAGGCAAAGCGAAAGCGAUAAGUAUUCCACCUGGGGAGUACGCCGGCAACGGUGAAACUCAAAUGAAUUGGCGGGG